Molecule: transfer RNA, 63 nt
Filed under: Aconurella prolixa
Lineage: Eukaryota; Metazoa; Arthropoda; Insecta; Hemiptera; Cicadellidae
Description: tRNA-Asp
Source: RNAcentral
AAGAAAUUAGUUUAAAGAAAAUUUAAAUUCGUCAAAUUUAAGAUACUAACUUAGUAUUUCUUU